This 66-nucleotide transfer RNA is filed under the name Isoscelipteron pectinatum. RNAcentral describes it as "tRNA-Ala". It matches the Rfam family "tRNA". Rfam says of the family: Transfer RNA (tRNA) molecules are approximately 80 nucleotides in length. Their secondary structure includes four short double-helical elements and three loops (D, anti-codon, and T loops). The record is from RNAcentral. Lineage: Eukaryota; Metazoa; Arthropoda; Insecta; Neuroptera; Berothidae.
AGGAUAAUAGUUUAAUUUAAAACAUUUGAUUUGCAUUCAAAAAAUAUUACUUAAUAAUUUAUCUUA